RNAcentral lists this ribosomal RNA (470 nucleotides) under uncultured Methanomicrobiales archaeon. RNAcentral describes it as "bacterial SSU rRNA". It matches the Rfam family "Archaeal small subunit ribosomal RNA", at positions 871 to 1337 of the family's 1478-position model. Lineage: Archaea; Methanobacteriati; Methanobacteriota; Methanomicrobia; Methanomicrobiales. The record is from RNAcentral.
ACGGGGAGCACCACAACAGGUGGAGCCUGCGGUUUAAUCGGACUCAACGCCGGGAAACUCACCAGAUAAGACAGCUGAAUGAUAGUCGGGCUGAAGACUCUACUUGACUAGCUGAGAGGAGGUGCAUGGCCGUCGUCAGUUCGUACUGUGAAGCAUCCUGUUAAGUCAGGCAACGAGCGAGACCCACGCCAACAGUUGCCAGCUCGUCCUCCGGGAUGGUGGGGACACUGUUGGGACCGUCUCUGCUAAAGAGGAGGAAGGAAUGGGCAACGGUAGGUCAGCAUGCCCCGAAUUAUCUGGGCUACACGCGGGCUACAAUGGGUGGGACAAUGGGUAUCGACACCGAAAGGUGAAGGCAAUCUCCUAAACCCAUCCGUAGUUCGGAUUGUGGGCUGCAACUCGCCCACAUGAAGCUGGAAUCUGUAGUAAUCGUGUCUCAAAAUGGCACGGUGAAUAUGUCCCUGCUCCUU